CCUACGGGAGGCAGCAGUGGGGAAUAUUGCACAAUGGGCGAAAGCCUGAUGCAGCAACGCCGCGUGAAGGAAGAAGGGUUUCGGCUCGUAAACUUCUAUCAACAAGGACGAAAGAAAUGACGGUACCUGAAUAAGAAGCACCGGCUAACUAAGUGCCAUCAGCCGCGGUAAUACGUAGGGGUCAAGCGAUAUACGGAAUUACUGGGUUUAAAGGGUGAGGUGGCGGGAAUGUAAGCAAGAUGUGAAAGCCAUGGGCUUAACCCGAGGAUUGCAUUUGAAACUAGCAAGCUAGAGUACAGGAGAGGAAAGCGGAAUUCCUAGUGUAGCGGUGAAAUGCGUAGAUAUUAGGAAGAACACCAGUGGCGAAGGCGGCUUUCUGGACUGAAACUGACGCUGAGGCACGAAAGCGUGGGGAGCGAACAGGAUUAGAUACCCCUGUAGUC
RNAcentral lists this ribosomal RNA (443 nucleotides) under uncultured bacterium. RNAcentral's name for it is "partial 16S ribosomal RNA". It matches the Rfam family "Bacterial small subunit ribosomal RNA", at positions 338 to 795 of the family's 1533-position model. The record is from RNAcentral.